AGAGAAAAGAGAGAGAAGCUUAAGGCCUUGUCAGUGCAGCAAGAGUAGCAGUCUUAGAAAGAGUGCAUUUUCUCAAAGAAUUAGACAGAAGAUUGAAUGCCUAAAAAGCAAAUAAUCUAUGGGUCUUGUGUCUCACAGUUUCUGAUCUCACUUAUUAGUAAUGUAAAAAGUGAGACUGCAUUUUACCCACAUACAGAACUCAUCUGUUUUUUUUUUUGCAGGCUCUCAGACUUAGAAGGAUUUUCCAGCACUUGAUCUCGAGUGGAUUGAGAUACCUAAGGCUUUUUGCAAUUAACCCCAAUUCAUAGCAUUUCCUUCUGGGAAUCUCUAGUCAUCUCCUCACUGGAGGACUGAUGAUUUAGAGCAUAAUUCAGAGGCAUCUUACUAGGCAUGAGACAGAGGCUGAACAAACCCAACUCAGUGAUAAGGAUGUGAUGCAAGACUAUGUCAAAUGCCUUGCAGAAGUCCUGGUAGAUGAUAUCAGUUCCCCUUCCUUUGUCCACUGAUGCCAUCAUCCAUGCUAUGAUCCGAGUACUUUAGGCAUCUUCAUGAAGAGGAGUAUUCCAAUCUGUUGACCUGUAACCCUAAUAAAUGAAUCGUGAACAUUGUAUGUGUGCAUGGAAAGAGGUAA
Molecule: long non-coding RNA, 631 nt
Organism: Gallus gallus (chicken)
Lineage: Eukaryota; Metazoa; Chordata; Aves; Galliformes; Phasianidae
Exons: 3
Source: RefSeq, a predicted model, not a curated record